Molecule: transfer RNA, 68 nt
Filed under: Ictidomys tridecemlineatus (thirteen-lined ground squirrel)
Lineage: Eukaryota; Metazoa; Chordata; Mammalia; Rodentia; Sciuridae
Description: Spermophilus tridecemlineatus (thirteen-lined ground squirrel) tRNA
Rfam family: tRNA
About the family: Transfer RNA (tRNA) molecules are approximately 80 nucleotides in length.
Source: Rfam by way of RNAcentral
GGGGUUGUGGCUCAGAGGUAGAGCGCUCGCCUAGCACGCAAGAGGCACUGGUUCCAUCCUCAGCACCA